This 400-nucleotide ribosomal RNA is filed under the name uncultured bacterium. RNAcentral describes it as "bacterial SSU rRNA". It matches the Rfam family "Bacterial small subunit ribosomal RNA", at positions 356 to 773 of the family's 1533-position model. The record is from RNAcentral.
GGGGAAUAUUGCACAAUGGGCGAAAGCCUGAUGCAGCAACGCCGCGUGAGUGAUGACGGUCUUCGGAUUGUAAAGCUCUGUCUUUUGGGACGAUAAUGACGGUACCAAAGGAGGAAGCCACGGCUAACUACGUGCCAGCAGCCGCGGUAAUACGUAGGUGGCAAGCGUUGUCCGGAUUUACUGGGCGUAAAGGAUGUGUAGGCGGAUACUUAAGUGAGAUGUGAAAGCCCCGGGCUCAACCUGGGGACUGCAUUUCAAACUGGGUAUCUAGAGUGCAGGAGAGGAAAGCGGAAUUCCUAGUGUAGCGGUAAAAUGCGUAGAGAUUAGGAAGAACAUCAGUGGCGAGGGGGGCUUUCUGGACUGUAACUGACGCUGGGGCAUGAAGGCGUGGGGAGCAAAC